GCAUAUCAAUAAGCGGAGGAAAAGAAAAUAACAAUGAUUCCCUUAGUAACGGCGAGUGAAGGGGGAUAAGCUCAAAUUUUAAAUCUACCAGGUUAACCUGGUCGAGUUGUAAUUUGAAGAAGCGUUUUCCGCGUUCGGGUCGGCCCAAAUCCUUUGGGAUAAGGUAUCAUGGAGGGUGAGAAUCCCGUUCGGCUGACCUUAGGAUGCUUUACGAUACGCUCUCAAAGAGUCGAGUUGUUUGGGAUUGCAGCUCAAAAUGGGAGGUAAAUUUCUCCUAAGGCUAAAUACCGGCGAGAGACCGAUAGCGAACAAGUACCGUGAGGGAAAGAUGAAAAGAACUUUGAAAAGAGAGUUAAAUAGUACGUGAAAUUGUUGAAAGGGAAACGAUUGAAGUCAGUCGUACCGGCGGGAAAUCAGCUUCUCGAGUGGGGGUUCGCGGGUGCGUGGAGCUUCGGCCUUCGUCGCUUGUGACACCUUUUGCUUCUGGAGCGUACUUUUCCGUGUGGUAGGUCAACAUCGGUUUCGAUUGCCAUAAAAUGACCGGAGGAAUGUGGCUUCGAUCUUGUAUUGGAGUGUUAUAGCCUCUGGUAGAUGUGGUGGUUGGGAUCGAGGAUUGCAACGAAUACCCUUUGGGCUAUCCGUCUGACCUCUGAAAGUCGCUCGGGUGUUGAAAGCGUGCUUAUAACAUUCUAGUUGGCGGUCAAAAGGUUAGAACGCGAUUACAUUCGUUAAGGAUGUUGACGUA
RNAcentral lists this ribosomal RNA (745 nucleotides) under uncultured Glomerales. RNAcentral describes it as "LSU rRNA". It matches the Rfam family "Eukaryotic large subunit ribosomal RNA", at positions 38 to 633 of the family's 3401-position model. Lineage: Eukaryota; Fungi; Glomeromycota; Glomeromycetes; Glomerales; Glomeraceae. The record is from RNAcentral.